UGGGGAAUUUUGGACAAUGGGGGAAACCCUGAUCCAGCCAUCCCGCGUGUGCGAUGAAGGCCUUCGGGUUGUAAAGCACUUUUGGCAGGAAAGAAACGUCAUGGGUUAAUACCCCGUGAAACUGACGGUACCUGCAGAAUAAGCACCGGCUAACUACGUGCCAGCAGCCGCGGUAAUACGUAGGGUGCAAGCGUUAAUCGGAAUUACUGGGCGUAAAGCGUGCGCAGGCGGUUCGGAAAGAAAGAUGUGAAAUCCCAGAGCUCAACUUUGGAACUGCAUUUUUAACUACCGGGCUAGAGUGUGUCAGAGGGAGGUGGAAUUCCGCGUGUAGCAGUGAAAUGCGUAGAUAUGCGGAGGAACACCGAUGGCGAAGGCAGCCUCCUGGGAUAACACUGACGCUCAUGCACCAAAGCGUGGGGAGCAAACAGG
This 429-nucleotide ribosomal RNA is filed under the name Acidobacteriota bacterium. Its description in RNAcentral is "Acidobacteria bacterium partial 16S ribosomal RNA". It matches the Rfam family "Bacterial small subunit ribosomal RNA", at positions 355 to 776 of the family's 1533-position model. Lineage: Bacteria; Pseudomonadati; Acidobacteriota. The record is from RNAcentral.